RNAcentral lists this ribosomal RNA (497 nucleotides) under uncultured bacterium. RNAcentral describes it as "partial 16S ribosomal RNA". It matches the Rfam family "Bacterial small subunit ribosomal RNA", at positions 28 to 507 of the family's 1533-position model. The record is from RNAcentral.
GAUGAACGCUGGCGGCGUGCCUAAUACAUGCAAGUCGAGCGAACGGACGAGAAGCUUGCUUCUCUGAUGUUAGCGGCGGACGGGUGAGUAACACGUGGAUAACCUACCUAUAAGACUGGGAUAACUUCGGGAAACCGGAGCUAAUACCGGAUGAUAUUUUGAACCGCAUGGUUCAAAAGUGAAAGACGGUCUUGCUGUCACUUAUAGAUGGAUCCGCGCUGCAUUAGCUAGUUGGUAAGGUAACGGCUUACCAAGGCAACGAUGCGUAGCCGACCUGAGAGGGUGAUCGGCCACACUGGAACUGAGACACGGUCCAGACUCCUACGGGAGGCAGCAGUAGGGAAUCUUCCGCAAUGGGCGAAAGCCUGACGGAGCAACGCCGCGUGAGUGAUGAAGGUCUUCGGAUCGUAAAACUCUGUUAUUAGGGAAGAACAAAUGUGUAAGUAACUAUGCACGUCUUGACGGUACCUAAUCAGAAAGCCACGGCUAACUACGUG